RNAcentral lists this ribosomal RNA (1252 nucleotides) under uncultured bacterium. Its description in RNAcentral is "bacterial SSU rRNA". It matches the Rfam family "Bacterial small subunit ribosomal RNA", at positions 88 to 1360 of the family's 1533-position model. The record is from RNAcentral.
CUAGCGAGUGGCGGAUGGGUGAGUAACGCGUGGGCAACCUGCCCUAUACGGGGGGAUAACAUUGGCAACCCCUUGCUAAUACCCCAUAGCACCUUUUACGGGCAUCCCUAAAAGGUCAAAGAAAUUCGGAAUAGGAUGGGCCCGCGUCUGAUUACCUAGUUGGUGAGGUAAUGGCUCACCAAAAGCAACGAUCAGUAGCCGGCCUGAGAGGGUGAACGGCCACACUGGAACUGAGACACGGUCCAGACUCCUACGGGAGGCAGCAGUGGGGAAUAUUGCACAAUGGGGGAAACCCUGAUGCAGCAACGCCGCGUGAGCGAUGAAGGUUUUCGAAUCGUAAAGCUCUGUCCUAAGGGAAGAUAAUGACGGUACCUUAGGAGGAAGCCCCGGCUAACUACGUGCCAGCAGCCGCGGUAACACGUAGGGGGCAAGCGUUAUCCGGAAUUAUUGGGCGUAAAGGGUGCGUAGGCGGCCCUAUGGGUCAGAGGUUAAAUGCUACGGCUUAACCGUAGCAUGCCUUUGAAACUAUAGGGCUUGAGUGCAGGAGAGGAGAGUGGAAUUCCUAGUGUAGCGGUGAAAUGCGUAGAUAUUAGGAGGAAUACCAGUGGCGAAGGCGACUUUCUGGACUUAUACUGACACUGAGGAACGAAAGCACGGGUAGCAAACAGGAUUAGAUACCCUGGUAGUCCGUGCCGUAAACGAUGAGUGCUAGGUGUCGGGGGUCAAACAUCGCUGCCGGAGCUAACGCAUUAAGCACUCCGCCUGGGGAGUGCGUACGCAAGUAUGAAACUCAAAGGAAUAAACGGGGACCCGCACAAGCAGCGGAGCAUGUGGUUUAAUUCGAAGCAACGCGAAGAACCUUACCAGGACUUGACAUGGUAUUGACCGGUCUAGAGAUAGAUCCUUCCCUUCGGGGACAAUACACACAGGUGGUGCAUGGUUGUCGUCAGCUCGUGUCGUGAGAUGUUGGGUUAAGUCCCGUAACGAGCGCAACCCCCAUUUUUAGUUGCUAACAAGUAAUGUUGAGCACUCUAAAGAGACUGCCGAUGAUAAAUCGGAGGAAGGUGGGGAGGACGUCAAAUCAUCAUGCCCCUUAUGUCCUGGGCUACACACGUGCUACAAUGGUCGGUACAACGAGGAGGUACACAGCGAUGUGAUGCAAAUCUCUUAAAGCCGAUCCCAGUUCGGAUUGCAGGCUGCAAUUCGCCUGCAUGAAGUCGGAGUUGCUAGUAAUCGUGGAUCAGAAUGCCGC